RNAcentral lists this long non-coding RNA (914 nucleotides) under Callithrix jacchus (white-tufted-ear marmoset). RNAcentral describes it as "lncRNA (ENSCJAG00000075903.1)". The record is from RNAcentral. Lineage: Eukaryota; Metazoa; Chordata; Mammalia; Primates; Cebidae.
UGGACAUUAAUUAUACCAAAUAAAGCUGGUGCAAAUAUAAACAAACAACAGGUGGUGGGUUAGAUUUUGCCUGAGGAUUCUAGUUUACUAACCUUGAUUUAAGUUUUUAAAACUGUAGCUAAGGGACGUUAGAAUUGUUGGGACCCUCAGAAUUACGUGAUUCACCUACCUUGUAUAUCAGAACCUGAGAAACAGAGGAAGGAGACUAUUUGCUAAAGGCCACAUGGCACAUUAGUAACAGAAGUGAGAGCCUUCAGACCUUCAUUCCCAAACUCAGAUACGGGGGACACAUAAUUUUGAGAAAUGUUGCACAGGAUAAGAUAAGAAGCAGGGAUGCCAGUGAGGACAAGUCAUCUGAGAAAAAUAAAAAAGACAAGCAGGAAGACAGUUCAGAGGAUGAUGAAGCUGAAGAAGGAGAGGUUGAAGACGAGAACACAAGUGACGUAGAGAUGACAAAAAGGAACUUGGAGCAGCCAGAAGGAAUCAGUAUUACAUGAAAUAUGGGAAUUCAAAUUACGAAGGCAUGAAAGGAAUUCUUAGCAAUUCAUGGUGAGCCCAAAACCUUAAAAUGCAAAAGUAUUUAAGUUUUUCUUAAUUCUUCAGUUAGUAUUCUGUGUUGAAAUGUCUAAACCCCAUGUAGACUGGAAGGAAGAUGAGGGAAGAAUUCAAGAUUCUUAAAUGUGGUAAAUGCUGAGUUUUAGUUACAUUUAAAAUAUCUGUUUUAGUACCUAACAUUGUUUCAUUGUGUAGUUGAAAUGAAUUAGUGAGGCCAGAGGCAGUGUCUCACACCUGUAAUCCCAGCACUUUGGGAAGCCAAGGCGAAUGGAUCACCUGAGAUCAGGAGUUCUAGACCAGCCUGGCCAACAUGGUGAAACCCUGUCUCUACUCAAAAUACAUAAAUGGGCCAGUGUGGU